UUAUUUUAUUUAUGUUUGAUUAUUUUAUUUAUGUUGAUGAUUUUAUUAAUGUUGAUGAUUUUAUUUAUGUUGGAUAGUUUAUAUUUUCAACCUUAUCAUACUUUUGGCAUAAUAUUAUAUUCAUAAGAAAAGAUGGUCAGAAAAAAAACCCUUUUAAAUCAUUUUAAAGAAACAGUUGUUAAAUUAUUUGUAGCCUCUAUAGAAAAAUCAAAACUAUGUUGCAGGAAAUGAACAACAACCAAGAGACUAGAACCUUCGGGUCUCGUGACUCGGCAGACCGCGCGCUUCUUCUUUACAUCACUUAUUCUUUUCUGUUUCUGACAUGUCUUGAGGAUUGCACCAAAUCCUGGAUCAAACCUGGCAACCCAGAAACCGAAACCUGAACGCACUCCUGACCUGUCGGAACAUUUGUCUCUGAGCGGUUCUAGAGACUCGGUGGUUCUGAACAUCCAGCAGAAUCCGGAUCAGAACAUCAGGUGGUUUCUACGCGGGACUCGGCUCUAAAGAUCCAGUUCUUCUCUCCACUGGGGGGUUCGGAUGUUCUGGACCCCGAACAUCUGACCCCACAGCAGAGCUGCAGGUCCAGAACCAGAACCGGCUCCAGGCGCGCGCGGUGACAUAAAAGUAAUCGAUUACAUGCAGGCAAGGCGGGUUCUGAACCCGGAAACGGAAGUCCAAACCUUUGUCUCCUCGGAGGUCUCUAGGCGAACCGCUAGCGGGUCAGUGCUGGUUCCGGGUCCGUUUCCCUCCAGAACCCCUGACGAUCACGUGACCCGGAGAGGUCUGAGUCCACAGGAAGCCGGAGGCGGGUCAGCCGUGCAGUUCGCCCCGCCCACAACAGCGACGAGCGGAUUGGCUGAAAGGAAGAGACCCCCCCACCCCCCGCUGUUUUUGGAUGACGUCAUCAGGAGAUCCUCGUGCAGACUCAGCAGACAUUCAGUCCUCUGAUGGACUCAGUAACCAGCUGUUGGAAUCCCUCGUCGAUGGCGUGUGGACUCUUCACCAUCGUGGUUUUCCUGCAGAUGAUGAUGGCUGCAGGUCAUCAGAAUUCUCCUGAAGUCUGGUGGACCUGAAACUUCAAUCUGGAUGAUCCUCGGACCUCAUUGGUGUUCUGGAACGUUCUUCCAUCUGAGCCGUGUUGAGAAGCUCCUGAAUGAUGUCAUGCUGACACUUCAACAAUCGUUUCCAUCUUUUCCUUCUCUGGAAACCAACAGCUGUCAGUGGUGUCGACAGAUCAAGCUGUCAAAGGAAAACGGUGGAGAAGCGAGCUGUCGCUGUAGUCCAGAAUCAGACUGUGACAGAUCACCCUGAAGGUCUCAAACUGACCAAGAAACCCCUAUAAGUGAAUCCAGCAAACAGAAACGUCUGUGGACGAGGUUUGGGUCAGGAGGAGCUCAGAGAUCAUCCAGAACCUCCAGAACAAUCUACUGGACCGGCUUUCAGAGGACACGGGGGGUUCAGUUAUUUUCGCAAGAACACUUCAACACAUGGAAUCUGGAACCUGCAAUCUUCUGAUCAGAGGUUGACAGCCCUCCCGCAGCACCAUGGCGGCCGUGGUGCAGCGCCCCGACUGCUUUUCUGAGGUCUCCCUCGGCUGAGAGGGCGUUCCCUCUCUUCACGGUGUUGAUGAUGGACACGUAGCAGAAGAGCAUGAGGAGGACGGGGAUGAAGAAGCAGAAGAUGAAGAUGGAGACGAUGUAGGACUUGUAGAUGCUGG
Oryzias melastigma (Indian medaka) is the source of this 1717-nucleotide long non-coding RNA. RefSeq lists it as uncharacterized. NCBI's taxonomy places the organism in Eukaryota, Metazoa, Chordata, Actinopteri, Beloniformes, Adrianichthyidae. The record is from RefSeq and is a predicted model, not a curated record. The transcript has 4 exons.